Molecule: RNA transcript, 702 nt
Organism: Gigantopelta aegis
Lineage: Eukaryota; Metazoa; Mollusca; Gastropoda; Neomphalida; Peltospiridae
Gene name: excitatory amino acid transporter 3-like
Exons: 3
Source: RefSeq, a predicted model, not a curated record
GCAGUAGCAGUAGCAGUAGCAGCAGUAGCAGUAGCAGUAGCAGUAGCAGUAGCAGUAGCAAUAGCAGUAGCAGUAGCAGUAGUUACUAGUAUGUGAAGUGUUGUUUCUUUAUACCAGGUAUGCCGGGAGAACUCUUUAUGCGGUUGCUUCGUCUCAUGGUGCUUCCACUGAUUGUAAGCAGUGUGAUAUCAGAGCUGUGACGAUUCCAGAAAUGCUUAACGCUUGCGAGGAAAAGAAUGGAAUUGACAAAAGAGUGGCUCGUUUUGUGAUUCCUCUCUGUGCGACCUUGAACCGCGACGGAAGCGCCCUCUACAUAACGUCUUCCGCAAUUUUCAUUGGUCAGAUGGCGUUGGGAUCAGUUUCCGUUAGCAACGUAGUUGUAAUUUGGGACCGUAUCAGAACCGUCUGCAACAUCAUUAGUCACACGUUUUGCACGGCAGUGACGUACCAGUUCUGCAAGGAAGACUUGGGACAGAUGGAAAUGCCAGAAGGUCACCGAGAAAACGAAAUGGCCUAAUAUGGUCCUAUUUUAUGUGCACUGUGAUAAUCGUAGUCGACACAGGCUGUUUACGAAAUAAGAUGAGAGCAUUAUCCACGAAGCUAAGUGUAAGUGACGAUAUGUUCCGGACACAAAAUAUUCUGACAGAAAAAAAAAAAAAAAAAAAAAAAUAAUAAUAAUAAAAUAAUAAUAAUAAUAAAAAA